This 374-nucleotide ribosomal RNA is filed under the name uncultured eukaryote. RNAcentral's name for it is "partial 18S ribosomal RNA". It matches the Rfam family "Eukaryotic small subunit ribosomal RNA", at positions 592 to 976 of the family's 1831-position model. The record is from RNAcentral.
CAAGAGCGUAUGUAAAAGUUGUUGCAGUUAAAAAGCUCGUAGUUGAACCUUGGGUUUGGUUGGCCGGUCCGCUUUUUUGCGAGUACUGGAUUCAACCGAGCCUUUCCUUCUGGCUAACCAGUCGUUUCGGCGGCUGGCGAACCAGGAUUUUUACUUUGAGAAAAUUAGAGUGUUCAAAGCAGGCAUUAGCUUGAAUAUAUUAGCAUGGGAUAAUAGAAUAGGACGUUAUGGUUCUAUUUUGUUGGUUUCUAGGACCAUCGUAAUGAUUAAUAGGGACGGUCGGGGGCAUCAGUAUUCAGUUGUCAGAGGUGAAAUUCUUGGAUUUACUGAAGACUAACUACUGCGAAAGCAUUUGCCAAGGACGUUUUCAUUAA